RNAcentral lists this long non-coding RNA (1316 nucleotides) under Gopherus agassizii (Agassiz's desert tortoise). Its description in RNAcentral is "lncRNA (ENSGAGG00000010523.1)". Lineage: Eukaryota; Metazoa; Chordata; Testudines; Testudinidae. The record is from RNAcentral.
CUGUUUGUCCUUCAUCAGGACUAUGUAGGACUGAGAGGUGUGUUUGCAGUUGGUUGUGCUGUGCUGACUCAGCCAGUCUUUGCUCUCCUGGCAUUUUCAUUUGUUCCUCCGCUUGUCUCUACCAUCUGGCUGGGGAUCACUUACUCCUUUGCUGCUGUAAGUAUGUAGAAGCCACAGCAUUAACUGGUCACGUCAUAACUUUGGUUCCCUCCUCACUCCUUUCCAGACACUGGCAUUUUACACUAGCCAAAGGCUAAACAUUGGGCAUGUGUGCAUUCUGAGGUCUUUGGAUUACAAAGCCCAAAGGAUGUAGUCAGCAAACACCUCCGUAUAACCCAAAACAGCGUAAGGAACCCAUUGGCAUGGUGUGUGGGAAACAUUUCAUGACACCUUUUGAGCAAGAUGUAGAGUGUCCACCUAAGUCAGUUAUCCCAGCUCCUUAUUGAGAUGUUUGACUCUGAAUUGUGUGUGCUUUAAGUUGACUGCAGUAACUGGAGAGGAAAGAUGUAGGCACUCUCAUCAUCCAUUUACAGUAAUCUUCUGGUCUGAUAGUGGUCAUUGGUGGAUGAGUCAGAGGAAGAUGUAAACCCCUCCAUGAGGCAUCCAAAUGUGUAAUGGGGACAACUUCCUUUCUCCCUCAGUCGAUCAGCUAGUAGCCUGAAGCUGGGGCUUGAAUUGUUAGACUUUUCUGGAAAGUGUCUUGGCAGCAAACUUUUCCUACUUUAACAUCAGCCCAUUUCAUUACUCCUUACAACAGGCGAGUCUGUGGCCAUCCAUACCCCUUGUGGUUCCCUAGGCAACAUUAGGUACAGCUAUGGGGCUUACAACCUCUGUGCAGAUGACUGGAAUUGGUCUCUCCAAUCUGAUCGUUGGACACAUUCUGGGAACCAAGUCCAGGGUGGGACACUGAACAGAGCAACAAAGCAAUCAUCUGCAGAACAGGUCAGACAGCCUGUAGGCACAGCACUGCUCCUGGAUGAAGUGGGAGAUGAAGGGUUAAUCAACUAAAAAGCAUCAGGAUGCCCCAUUUUGGAUCCUACAGUGACAGAGUACAACAACAACUGGUUGCUGGCACAGUAUUGUCCCUCUGUAUUUCCAAUUGUAUGCUUUUAAGGAAUACAUUGUAAUAUUUUUAGCUUGUAUUUUUUUUAACAAGGGUAACCUUAUUCAGUCAUCCAUCAAAACAAGCUGGUAUGAAGGGAAUUAUGCAUAUGAAGGGAAAGUUGUUUUUGUUCCUUGUGUCUGGAACAAAUCAGCCAUAUGGUACAUUAAGCCAGUGAUGAAGCUUAUGUGGUACACUUUUUCAAAUGGACUAC